UCCGCCCUGGUGUAACGGCAGCACGCCGGCCUUUGGUGCCGUGUGGUCCGGGUUCGAAUCCUGGGGGCGGAGCCG
RNAcentral lists this transfer RNA (75 nucleotides) under Serinibacter arcticus. RNAcentral's name for it is "Serinibacter sp. K3-2 tRNA-Gln". It matches the Rfam family "tRNA". Rfam says of the family: Transfer RNA (tRNA) molecules are approximately 80 nucleotides in length. Their secondary structure includes four short double-helical elements and three loops (D, anti-codon, and T loops). Lineage: Bacteria; Bacillati; Actinomycetota; Actinomycetes; Micrococcales; Beutenbergiaceae. The record is from RNAcentral.